AGAAAUUUUCUUCUCUAUUUUUUUAUUCUCUAUUUUUUAAACUUUUCAGUUCCAGCCAUGGCCACCGCACAAGGCAAGAGAAAGAAACACAAUAAAAACCAAACCCCAGAAUCUCAAUUCAACUACAAUCUCAACUUUUACUCCAAAUCCAAAGACCUUCGCUCCGCUGUCUCCCUCUAUGAUGCCGCUGUCUCCAACAACACCUGUCUUAGCCAGCACCAUUUCAACACUCUUUUUUACCUCUGCUCUCUCUCUCUGACCCAUCAACGAAAGAGCUUGCUCUUCAAUAUGGGUUUUGCGUAUUUGACCGUAUGGUUGCCAAUGGUAUUAAACCCAAUGAAGCCUCGAUCACUGCCGUUGCCAGACUCGCUGCAGCCAAAGGUGAUGGCGAUUAUGCCUUUGAUUUGGUUAAGAAUAUGGGUGCCUAUAAUGAAUUGCCGCGGUUGAGGACAUAUGAUCCGGUCUUGUUUUGUUUCUGUGACAAAUUGGAGGCUGAUAAAGCCUAUGAGAUGGAGCUGCAUAUGGAAAGUUUGGGAGUGAGUUUGGAAGAAAUGGAGUUUGCGGCCUUGUUGAAGGUGAGUGCGGGGACUGGAAAUGAGGAAAAGGCUUAUGGGUAUUUGCAGAAAUUGAGGAAGACGGUUAGGUGUGUGAGGGAGGAGACUGCAAAGCUAAUUGAAAAUUGGUUUCAGAAUUUUGAGUGUAAUGGACUGGAAUUGGACGUGCGUUUGGUGAGAGAGGCGGUUACGAGGAAUGGAGGCGGGUGGCAUGGGCUUGGGUGGAUUGGGAAGGGGAGGUGGGUAGUGAGGAGAGGGAAUGUGGAUAUGGGUGGAAAAUGCUUUUGUUGCGGAGAACAGUUGGCUUGUAUAGACAUUGAUGAUACGGAGACUGAGACGUUUGCGGGUUCUGUUGCUGGUUUGGCUAUGGAAAGGGAGGUUAAAGCUUAUUUUAGUGAGUUUUAGGUAUGUGAUGUUGAAGCUGAAGAUAUGCAAAACAAAGUUUGAGGAUUUGAUGUUUUUGUGCUGAUUGACUUGAGGCAUUCAUGUCGUUUUUCUAUCUUCUAAUUUUUGUUGAUAUUUUUCUUCUCUCCGUUCAAUGCCUCCUACAAUAGGAUUGGCUGGACAAACAUGCCAAUUAUGAAUCAAUUGUAGAUGGAGCAAAUGUUGGGCUCUAUCAGCAAAACUUUGCAGAAGGCGGAUUUAGUGUUUCUCAGCUUGAUGCUGUUGUGAAAGAGCUGUAUAGUCAGAGGGGGAACUGGCCUCUUAUUAUCUUGCAUAAUAAACGUGUUCGGGCGCUCCUGGAAAAUCCUUCUCACAGAAAAUUGAUUCAAGAGUGGAUACAAAAGGAAGUUCUUUAUACAACACCUCAUGGUUCCAAUGAUGAUUGGUAGGAAGGUAUUGGCUAUAUGCUGCUGUAAAACUGAGGUGCUUGCUUGUUACUAAUGAUGAGAUGCGAGAUCAUAUUUUUGAACUUCUGGGAAGCAACUUCUUUCUCAGGUGGAAAGAGAGACAUCAAGUUCGAUAUACCUUUUUGAAAGGGAACCUAAAACUUCAAAUGCCAGGACCAUUUUCUGUAGUCAUCCAGGAGUCAGACAAAGGAGCAUGGCAUGUGCCUAUAUCAGGUGAUGGAAAUGAGGAUUCUACACAGGGUUGGCUCUGCAUUACCAGGCCAAGUGCUUGUGGUGCACUUGGCGAAGAUGCAGUGAGCAUGGAAACUUCUGAGAAUGGUCAUGGUGUUUGCAAUGGUAGCAAGUUGUUGAGCCCUUGCAAACAAAAAUGUAUUACAAGUUGCAAUAAUGAACCUGAAAGCCAAGAUUCUGACAAUAAACCUGCAACUAUGGCAGGUAAAAGGAAAGAAAGAUCCCCAUCUCCUUCCUAGUUGUAUCUUCCUCGAACUUUAUGUCAUUUACAAAAGGUCUUUGAGCAUCUCCUGUUGAACUUAUUAAGUUCACAAGGAGAAAAAUCAGUGUUUGAACUUCCAGGUUUCAAAUUCAAAAUCUUGGGCAGAUGAUGAGGAAGAGAAAGCUACCUCUUGUUGUUUAAUACAAGGCACUAGGCUUUAACG
RNAcentral lists this unclassified non-coding RNA (2061 nucleotides) under Hevea brasiliensis (rubber tree). The record is from RNAcentral. Lineage: Eukaryota; Viridiplantae; Streptophyta; Magnoliopsida; Malpighiales; Euphorbiaceae.